This 850-nucleotide transfer RNA is filed under the name Capra hircus (goat). Its description in RNAcentral is "lncRNA (ENSCHIG00000003898.1)". The stretch from base 34 to 105 matches the Rfam family "tRNA". The record is from RNAcentral. Lineage: Eukaryota; Metazoa; Chordata; Mammalia; Artiodactyla; Bovidae.
CACGGCUCAGCUGCUGGAGAGCGAGGCGGCCGCGUUCCCACGGUGUAACGGUCAGCACUCUGGACUCUGAACCCAGCGAUCCGAGUUCGAGUCUCGGUGGGACCUUUCCCUUUAGGCCGCACGCAGGGUCUUUUACCAGCGCAGCCGGAUCUCAGUCUCCUGAAAGCGACCUGCGCCUCAGGUGCGCGCUGAGUGGGCCUACUCUCCCGCCCCAGCGCCCAGCUCGUCCUGCUCUGGGGACCAGAAGGUCUGGGUCCCGCGAAGGAGGCCCUGGGCCCCCGUGCUCUGCCGCCUCCCGCUCAGCAGCCGAGGUCCGAAACCUGCUGCUCUGAGCAGCGCAGGGCCCUGGACCGCGGGGAGGUGGGGGACGAGCCCGCGGCAGCCCCGCAGGACCCUGCGGCUCUGCGGGUCAAUGGUCAUCGGAGGCCCGGCCCCGCCGCCAAAGGGCGCAGCGACCGAAGCUCUGCCACCCCCUGUCGGGUCACCCUGGGUCUCGAGCGCUGCUGUGUACUCUACCACCAAGAAGGAAGUAUGAAAGACAGAAACACUUAUUAAAGUACACCCUAGUAUACAGUUUAGACUGUGGCAAUCCUACAGAACAACCAGCUCAGUUUCUUCAACAAAUGAAUGAUUUAAAGGGGAAAUAAAGGACAGCAAUAGACCAAGCGAGAUGGAGAGCGGGUGAGAGAGAGAGCAAAGAAGGAAGGAAAGAAGAAAUAGAAGGUAAGCAUACAUGUAAGAGACUUAAAUGCAUUAUCUUAGUGAUUCCAGUUGGUGGAUUCUAUUUGGAUCCAAAAAAGAAGACUAACUUAGAAAGAAAAAUGGAGGAGCAGGAGGGGCAUUUCCCUGG